Molecule: transfer RNA, 83 nt
Filed under: archaeon
Lineage: Archaea
Description: tRNA-Leu
Rfam family: tRNA
About the family: Transfer RNA (tRNA) molecules are approximately 80 nucleotides in length. Their secondary structure includes four short double-helical elements and three loops (D, anti-codon, and T loops). Further hydrogen bonds mediate the characteristic L-shaped molecular structure. tRNAs have two regions of fundamental functional importance: the anti-codon, which is responsible for specific mRNA codon recognition, and the 3' end, to which the tRNAs corresponding amino acid is attached (by aminoacyl-tRNA synthetases). tRNAs cope with the degeneracy of the genetic code in two manners: having more than one tRNA (with a specific anti-codon) for a particular amino acid; and 'wobble' base-pairing, i.e. permitting non-standard base-pairing at the 3rd anti-codon position.
Source: RNAcentral
GGGGGAAUGCCAGAGCGGUCAAAUGGGGCACGUUAAGGGCGUGUUGGCUUAAGCCUACGAGGGUUCGAAUCCUUCUUCCCCCA